GUAAUCCAAUUUUUCUUAUAGUAAAUCUGAGUUUGGUGAGUACCAAACUUGGUGGGUGUCAAAAUAGCUAGCCUGUGAUGGCCGGGCUAUCUACUCAGAAUAUUGCAAAAUGUGCUUUCACCGAAAAGCUAUUUUAAAAUCGGACACCGCGAUUGCAUAAAGGAGUUCUGUAUCUAUAAUUCUUAAAAUAAUUGUUAUGUGUUUUGUGAAAGUUUAUCGUGAGUAAUUUAGUAAAUUCACCGGAAGUUUCGGUGGGUAUGCUAGUUCUGAACGUCACAUGCUAAUGUAAAAAGCUAGUGUUUGAUAUAAAUAUGAACUUGAUUGAACAAAACAUGCAUGUAUUGUAUAACAUAAUGUCCUAGGAGUGUCAUCUGAUGAAGAUCAUCAAAGGUGAACGUGGUACCUUCAGGCGUUUGGAAAUUGCUCCCAAGGAUGAACCAGACUUGUGGAGGUCUACAAUUUUUUUCUGAGGUCUUGGCUGAUUUCUUUUGAUUUUCCCAUGAUGUCAAGCAAAGAGGCACUGAGUUUGAAGAGACCAAGGCCAUGGAGGAAUAUAUUGAGGACUCUGUCUGCUGGAGGAAUCAGGCCUUCGGCAUCCCCUGCCGGCGCAGGGACCCUGCUUCCGUGCAUUGCCUACAUUGAAUACUACUAUGCCUUAUUGACUGAGGUGUUGAUGUUGCCUUGACUCUGAACCUGCCUGCCUGACCAUACUGCCUGCCCUGACCUCGAGCCUGCCUGCCACUCUGUACCUCCUGGACUCUGACCUUGUUAUGAUCUUUUGCCUGUCCACGACCCUUCUCUUGCCAGCCCUUUGGAUACUAAUAAAUAUCAGAGACUCGAACCAUCUGCCUCCCGUAUCUGCAUCUUGGUCUCGCCCUGUGCCCUUAUAAAUUCAAUAAGACAAAAGCUGCAAAAUGGAGAGUUGAAAAUAAAGA
This 935-nucleotide long non-coding RNA is filed under the name Salmo salar (Atlantic salmon). RNAcentral describes it as "lncRNA (ENSSSAG00000109341.1)". Lineage: Eukaryota; Metazoa; Chordata; Actinopteri; Salmoniformes; Salmonidae. The record is from RNAcentral.